Molecule: long non-coding RNA, 745 nt
Organism: Herpailurus yagouaroundi (jaguarundi)
Lineage: Eukaryota; Metazoa; Chordata; Mammalia; Carnivora; Felidae
Exons: 2
Source: RefSeq, a predicted model, not a curated record
GGAAGCAGUUUGAACGGAGGAACGCGCUCCUGGCUCUGUUUUACUAUUGUUCUUUUGCAGGCUUGGCCCCCGACUUGUAAGAUGAGCUUCCAGGCGUCGUUUGAAAUCCCUUGGGUUUGCCUGCCGAUACGGCCUAUUCUGGGUGCGGGGUCCUUUAAAAGAAACAGGCACCGGAGUCGGGUUCUGUCUGACAAAGUCAGUCGUCUUUUUGAUGAUCUCAGGCCUUCUUCUGAGCUCUACGAGUCAGCACACCGACAGCAGAAGAAACUGAGGCUCAAAACUUUAAAUACGUGCAGUCACCCAGGUGGUAAAUGAUAGAUGUAUUCAGGUUCUCAAGUCUUCUUCUCACAGAGGAGGGUCACUGCCUCUCUCAACCUAGCCAUUAUUCAUCUUGGUCACUGUCACCCCUUUAUGGUUGGGUCACCGCCCAGGGUCUUUAAUAUCAGAGCAGAGCUAACAGUGACAAGUAAAUUAUAGUGACUAGCAACAUUUAUCAACUUUGCAAUUAAAGUCUUUACAUAUAUUCAAGUCUCUAUUGCCUACCAUAAGGAGGAACAGAGAUGGUCCUGUUUAACAAACCCCAGUUUAAAACAAAAUAGAAAAAAGAAACCACUUGAUUUUUAACAUCGUCUGGUUAGGAAAUAUAAAUACGUGUUGUCAUAGUUACUAUAAAAGCUUGCGUGGAAACAUGGUUAAGCAAAAAGAAGGAAAAUUCCUGCCAAAAAUUAAAAUGUAUUCACAUGUA